GGGGGUUGGAGUUGUAGAUUUCAGCUGUCCAACAACUAAUUAGCCUUGAUUAAAAUUAGAAAGUAUUGAAGUAGGGGUUGUUUUGAUAGUAAUUAAUCAUCAUGUCACUUUUAUGACUGGAAAUGUAUGGAUGUUAAAGGCAAAAGGUUGAGUCAAAAAGAUCGUGAAUUAUGUUAAAAUGACCGAAAAAGCCUUGAAAACUAAAAAAUAGAUGACUGUUUCAUACUUUGCCCAGCCAGACUCUUACCGGACAUUAUACAAAUGACCGGAAUAUAUGACCGUUUUGGAAGCCCUGGGUUGGAC
Molecule: long non-coding RNA, 303 nt
Filed under: Mytilus galloprovincialis (Mediterranean mussel)
Lineage: Eukaryota; Metazoa; Mollusca; Bivalvia; Mytilida; Mytilidae
Source: RNAcentral